UCUGGUUUUGAGAGAGCUGAUCCUUCUUGCUUUUUCUGGAAUGUUCCUGCGACUAUGGACAGGAAUGUUGCAGAAUUUUGUGAAAGAGAGCGGAAAAUCACAUGCGUUUAAUCUGCCAUCACGAAUUGGAAUAUAUCACCUAAACUCUCAAUGAUCCCAAGGACUUUGAAAUUGUAGGUCAAGGAGGAUUGUGGUUAAAAUUCUGAUUUAGGGACCUCAGGAAAUACUUGCCCAGUUAAAUGACUAUAUCUACUCAUCAGGAUAUGACCUUUCAGCCUGCUUCAAUAUGGAUAGAUGAAGCACAUGGGGCUCAGAGAAUUAAAUACCAUACCAAAGAUCACCCAACCAUCUAGUGGUGGAGCUGGAUUUGAACCAAUGUGUCAUAUUCUAAGGCUUGUGCAUUAUUCAAAUAUCCAGAGCCAAGAAAUACAAAGCACCCCUAAUAGAAUCAACUCAAGAAGAUCUUCU
This is a long non-coding RNA of Tupaia belangeri chinensis (Chinese tree shrew), 468 nucleotides long. RefSeq lists it as uncharacterized. The record is from RefSeq and is a predicted model, not a curated record. The transcript is spliced from 3 exons. Lineage: Eukaryota; Metazoa; Chordata; Mammalia; Scandentia; Tupaiidae.